CCUACGGGGGGCUGCAGUGGGGAAUAUUGGACAAUGGGGGCAACCCUGAUCCAGCCAUGCCGCGUGUGUGAAGAAGGCCCUCGGGUUGUAAAGCACUUUCAGUGAGGAAGAACGCCUGGUGGUUAAUACCCAUCAGGAAAGACAUCACUCACAGAAGAAGCACCGGCUAACUCCGUGCCAGCAGCCGCGGUAAUACGGAGGGUGCGAGCGUUAAUCGGAAUUACUGGGUGUAAAGCGCGCGUAGGUGGCUUGAUAAGCCGGUUGUGAAAGCCCCGGGCUCAACCUGGGAACGGCAUCCGGAACUGUCAAGCUAGAGUGCAGGAGAGGAAGGUAGAAUUCCCGGUGUAGCGGUGAAAUGCGUAGAGAUCGGGAGGAAUACCAGUGGCGAAGGCGGCCUUCUGGACUGACACUGACACUGAGGUGCGAAAGCGUGGGUAGCAAACAGGAUUAGAUACCCCGGUAGU
RNAcentral lists this ribosomal RNA (464 nucleotides) under Vreelandella stevensii. RNAcentral describes it as "partial 16S ribosomal RNA". It matches the Rfam family "Bacterial small subunit ribosomal RNA", at positions 338 to 794 of the family's 1533-position model. The record is from RNAcentral. Lineage: Bacteria; Pseudomonadati; Pseudomonadota; Gammaproteobacteria; Oceanospirillales; Halomonadaceae.